UUGAACGCUGGCGGCAGGCCUAACACAUGCAAGUCGAACGAGAAACCCGAGCUUGCUCGGGUGGACAGUGGCAGACGGCUUAGUAACGCGUGGGUAUCUACCUAGAGGUUUGGAACAACUAUUGGAAACGAUAGCUAAUACCAGAUAUUCCCUAAGGGGGAAAGAUUUAUCGCCUUUAGAUGAGCCCGCGUCGGAUUAGCUUGUUGGUAGGGUAAAGGCCUACCAAGGCAACGAUCCGUAGCUGGUCUGAGAGGACGAUCAGCCACACCGGGACUGAGACACGGCCCAGACUCCUACGGGAGGCAGCAGUAGGGAAUCUUAG
RNAcentral lists this ribosomal RNA (322 nucleotides) under uncultured OCS116 cluster bacterium. Its description in RNAcentral is "SSU rRNA". It matches the Rfam family "Bacterial small subunit ribosomal RNA", at positions 30 to 367 of the family's 1533-position model. The record is from RNAcentral. Lineage: Bacteria; Pseudomonadati; Pseudomonadota; Alphaproteobacteria.